RNAcentral lists this long non-coding RNA (1495 nucleotides) under Ursus americanus (American black bear). RNAcentral's name for it is "lncRNA (ENSUAMG00000006905.1)". The record is from RNAcentral. Lineage: Eukaryota; Metazoa; Chordata; Mammalia; Carnivora; Ursidae.
GGAAAAGCAGACUCCCCGGUGAGCAGGGAGCAGGACAUGGGAGUCAAUCCCAAGACUCUGAGAUCAUGACCUGAGCCAAAGGCAGACGCUUAGCUGACUGAGCCACCCAGUUGCCCCUCUAACUAAUUUUUUCCCCCAUUAAUUUGAGAGGGAAAGAGGGAGCAGGAGGAGAAGGGGCAGAGGGAGAGGGAGAGAGAAUCUCGAGCAGACUCUGCACCCAGUAUGGAGCCCAAGGUAGGGCUUGAUCCCACAACCCUGAGGCCAAAACCAAGAGUCAGAUGCCUGACCGACUGCACCACCCAGGCGCCCCAAUAUAACAGAUCUUUAAGACUCCACCCUGCGGGCCCCUGCCUUAAUCCUCGGAUGUCCUUUUAUACCUGCCCAAUUAGACUUCCUGCCAGCAUCAUCUGUUCCUGUUACCAUCCUGCUGGGAAGUACUGGGAUCAGUUUGCCUCACGUCAUUACAAGGUCGUCACGCUAAGGAACAUUAAGUAACGUAAAUGGUGGUAUCCUCAACGCUGCCUCCACGGUCGAUAUAAAUUCCAGGCUGCACUACUUAUUACCUGGGUGACCUUGGGUAAGUUAUUAACCUCUCUAAGCGUCCGUUUUCUCACCGAUAAAAUGGGGAUAAUAUAAUGAUAAUAACAAACUACCUCUCUGGGCUGUUGUGAUUAAAUUAGAUAAUCCAGGUGAAACAUUUAAAAAAUUAUCUAUCUUUGAAAACACAUAACAUUUAAAUUUCAUUACAGAGAAUAAUGGGUCUUAGAAAAUCGAAGUGGGGAUUCCAAGUUGAAAGAUCCUAAGAGAGAGGGAAGAAGUGCCUUGUGGGUGCCUUCCAACUCUGAGAUUCUCCGAGGUGCUGGAUUCCAGAACUUUGUACUUGUACUUGCAUUCUGAGGUUGGACGUGACAGUCACAGAUUAAAUUUAACCCUCUUAAUUUAUUACCCUAUUCCAGGCUUCUCCUAGGGCUGAUUACAGUUAUCAAUUUGAAGUAUACCCUUCCAGAACCAUUUUAUAGGCAUGUACAUACAAAUAUUUGUUUGAAUGGAAAAAUUAUGGUUUUAUUUUGUGAGUCCCAUGCCUUUUUCUUGGGGGAAAAAAAAAAAGUCAUGAUGUGUAAUUUUCUGCAUAUAAAAACACAUUUUUAAUACUUGAGCCAGGCCCCAAGAGGUUAUUUCCAUAGUGUAUACAUCUGUAGUGCUGCCUCACCUAAAACGUUUACACUUUAACCUUGGCAGUCUUUCUUAGACCCAGGCAAAAAUAAUUGCAAGGAAGGGAUUUGGCAGAAGCCUCUUACACGUAGCCUCCUUCGACGAGGCUUAGGGAAUCGUGACCCCUGGUGGCCAGGAAUGGACUUUAAAGAAAGAGACCGGCCAGCAUUCCGUCAGAUCGGUAACUUCUCUCCCUCGCCGCGUGGAGCGCUUGGCUGGGGAUGAGCUCCUGCCUCUUUAAAGAGGUCCCACUACGGGGACCCCAAGACGAUGACCGACCCCG